GACGAACGCUGGCGGCGUGCUUAACACAUGCAAGUCGAACGGAAAGGCCCUGCUUUUGUGUGGUGCUCGAGGGGCGAACGGGUGAGUAACACGUGAGUAACCUUCCCUGUACUUUGGGAUAACUUCAGGAAACUGGUGCUAAUACCUGAUAGGAGCUCCUGCUGCAUGGUGGGGUUUGGAAAGUUUCGGCGGUUGUGGAUGGACUCGCGGCUUAUCAGCUUGUGGGUGGGGUAGUGGCUUACCAAGGCUUUGGCGGGUAGCCGGCCUGAGAGGGUGACCGGCCACAUUGGGACUGCGAUACGGCGCAGACUCCUACGGGAGGCAGCAGUGGGGAAUAUUGCACAAUGGGGGGAAGCCUGAUGCAGCAACGCCGCGUGCGGGAUGAAGGCUUUCGGGUUGUAAACCGCUUUCGCCUGUGACGAAGCGUGAGUGACGGUAAUGGGUAAAGAAGCACCGGCUAACUACGUG
This 468-nucleotide ribosomal RNA is filed under the name uncultured bacterium. RNAcentral describes it as "partial 16S ribosomal RNA". It matches the Rfam family "Bacterial small subunit ribosomal RNA", at positions 28 to 507 of the family's 1533-position model. The record is from RNAcentral.